AUGCUCACUUCGGCAGCACACAUACUAAAAUUGGAACGGCACANAGAAGAUUAGCAUGGCCCCUGCACAAGGAUGACACGCAAAUUCCUGAAGCGUUCCAUAAAAAA
Molecule: small nuclear RNA, 107 nt
Filed under: Salvator merianae (Argentine black and white tegu)
Lineage: Eukaryota; Metazoa; Chordata; Lepidosauria; Squamata; Teiidae
Source: RNAcentral